GUGCCUGCUUCGGCAGCACAUAUACUAAAAUUGGAAUGGUAUGGAAAAGAUCAGCAUGGCCCUGCACAAGGAUGACACACAAAUUCUUGAAGUAUUCCAUAUUUUU
Molecule: small nuclear RNA, 106 nt
Filed under: Sus scrofa (pig)
Lineage: Eukaryota; Metazoa; Chordata; Mammalia; Artiodactyla; Suidae
Source: RNAcentral